GAUGAACGCUGGCGGCGUGCCUAAUACAUGCAAGUCGAGCGAACAGACGAGGAGCUUGCUCCUCUGACGUUAGCGGCGGACGGGUGAGUAACACGUGGAUAACCUACCUAUAAGACUGGGAUAACUUCGGGAAACCGGAGCUAAUACCGGAUAAUAUAUUGAACCGCAUGGUUCAAUAGUGAAAGACGGUUUUUGUGUCACUUAUAGAUGGAUCCGCGCUGCAUUAGCUAGUUGGUAGGGUAACGGCUUGCCAAGGCAACGAGGCGUAGCCGACCUGAGAGGGUGAUCGGCCACACUGGAACUGGGACACGGUCCAGGCUCCUACGGGAGGCAGCAGUAGGGAAUCUGCCGCAAUGGGCGAAAGCUUGACGGAGCAACGCCGAGUGAGUGAUGAAGGUCUUCGGUUCGUAAAACUCUGUUAUUAGGGAAGAACAAAUGUGUAAGUAACUAUGCACGUCUUGACGGUACCGAAUCAGAAAGCCACGGCUAACUACGUG
This 497-nucleotide ribosomal RNA is filed under the name uncultured bacterium. RNAcentral's name for it is "partial 16S ribosomal RNA". It matches the Rfam family "Bacterial small subunit ribosomal RNA", at positions 28 to 507 of the family's 1533-position model. The record is from RNAcentral.